GACGAACGCUGGCGGCGUGCCUAAUACAUGCAAGUCGAGCGAAGUUUUUCUGGUGCUUGCACCGGAAAAACUUAGCGGCGAACGGGUGAGUAACACGUAAAGAACCUGCCUCAUAGACUGGGACAACUAUUGGAAACGAUAGCUAAUACCGGAUAACAGCAUUAACUGCAUGGUUGAUGUUUAAAAGUUGGUUUUGCUAACACUAUGAGAUGGCUUUGCGGUGCAUUAGCUAGUUGGUGGGGUAAAGGCCUACCAAGGCGACGAUGCAUAGCCGACCUGAGAGGGUGAUCGGCCACACUGGGACUGAGACACGGCCCAGACUCCUACGGGAGGCAGCAGUAGGAAAUCGUCCGCAAUGGGCGAAAGCCUGACGGAGCAACGCCGCGUGAGUGAAGAAGGAUUUCGGUUCGUAAAGCUCUGUUGUUAGGGAAGAAUGAUUGUGUAGUAACUGUACACAGUAGAGACGGUACCUAACCAGAAAGCCACGGCUAACUACG
Molecule: ribosomal RNA, 497 nt
Filed under: uncultured bacterium
Lineage: Bacteria
Description: partial 16S ribosomal RNA
Rfam family: Bacterial small subunit ribosomal RNA
Source: RNAcentral